AGACCCGAAACCCGGUGAUCUAGCCAUGGGCAGGUUGAAGGUUGGGUAACACUAACUGGAGGACCGAACCGACUAAUGUUGAAAAAUUAGCGGAUGACCUGUGGCUGGGGGUGAAAGGCCAAUCAAACCGGGAGAUAGCUGGUUCUCCCCGAAAGCUAUUUAGGUAGCGCCUCGUGAAUUCAUCUCCGGGGGUAGAGCACUGUUUCGGCUAGGGGGCCAUCCCGGCUUACCAACCCGAUGCAAACUGCGAAUACCGGAGAAUGUUAUCACGGGAGACACACGGCGGGUGCUAACGUCCGUCGUGAAGAGGGAAACAACCCAGACCGCCAGCUAAGGUCCCAAAGUCAUGGUUAAGUGGGAAACGAUGUGGGAAGGCCCAGACAGCCAGGAUGUUGGCUUAGAAGCAGCCAUCAUUUAAAGAAAGCGUAAUAGCUCACUGGUCGAGUCGGCCUGCGCGGAAGAUGUAACGGGGCUAAACCAUGCACCGAAGCUGCGGCAGCGACGCUGAUGCGUUGUUGGGUAGGGGAGCGUUCUGUAAGCCUGCGAAGGUGUGUCGUGAGGCAUGCUGGAGGUAUCAGAAGUGCGAAUGCUGACAUAAGUAACGAUAAAGCGGGUGAAAAGCCCGCUCGCCGGAAGACCAAGGGUUCCUGUCCAACGUUAAUCGGGGCAGGGUGAGUCGACCCCUAAGGCGAGGCCGAAAGGCGUAGUCGAUGGGAAACGGGUUAAUAUUCCCGUACUUGGUGUUACUGCGAAGGGGGGACGGAGAAGGCUAUGUUGGCCGGGCGACGGUUGUCCCGGUUUAAGCGUGUAGGUGUGUGUUCCAGGUAAAUCCGGUUCACUUUAACACUGAGGCGUGAUGACGAGGCACUACGGUGCUGAAGCAACAAAUGCCCUGCUUCCAGGAAAAGCCUCUAAGCAUCAGGUAACAUCAAAUCGUACCCCAAACCGACACAGGUGGUCAGGUAGAGAAUACCAAGGCGCUUGAGAGAACUCGGGUGAAGGAACUAGGCAAAAUGGUGCCGUAACUUCGGGAGAAGGCACGCUGACACGUAGGUGAAGUGAUUUACUCAUGGAGCUGAAGUCAGUCGAAGAUACCAGCUGGCUGCAACUGUUUAUUAAAAACACAGCACUGUGCAAACACGAAAGUGGACGUAUACGGUGUGACGCCUGCCCGGUGCCGGAAGGUUAAUUGAUGGGGUCAGCGCAAGCGAAGCUCCUGAUCGAAGCCCCGGUAAACGGCGGCCGUAACUAUAACGGUCCUAAGGUAGCGAAAUUCCUUGUCGGGUAAGUUCCGACCUGCACGAAUGGCGUAAUGAUGGCCAGGCUGUCUCCACCCGAGACUCAGUGAAAUUGAACUCGCUGUGAAGAUGCAGUGUACCCGCGGCAAGACGGAAAGACCCCGUGAACCUUUACUAUAGCUUGACACUGAACAUUGAGCCUUGAUGUGUAGGAUAGGUGGGAGGCUUUGAAGUGUGGACGCCAGUCUGCAUGGAGCCGACCUUGAAAUACCACCCUUUAAUGUUUGAUGUUCUAACGUGGACCCGUGAUCCGGGUUGCGGACAGUGUCUGGUGGGUAGUUUGACUGGGGCGGUCUCCUCCUAAAGAGUAACGGAGGAGCACGAAGGUUGGCUAAUCCUGGUCGGACAUCAGGAGGUUAGUGCAAUGGCAUAAGCCAGCUUGACUGCGAGCGUGACGGCGCGAGCAGGUGCGAAAGCAGGUCAUAGUGAUCCGGUGGUUCUGAAUGGAAGGGCCAUCGCUCAACGGAUAAAAGGUACUCCGGGGAUAACAGGCUGAUACCGCCCAAGAGUUCAUAUCGACGGCGGUGUUUGGCACCUCGAUGUCGGCUCAUCACAUCCUGGGGCUGAAGUAGGUCCCAAGGGUAUGGCUGUUCGCCAUUUAAAGUGGUACGCGAGCUGGGUUUAGAACGUCGUGAGACAGUUCGGUCCCUAUCUGCCGUGGGCGCUGGAGAACUGAGGGGGGCUGCUCCUAGUACGAGAGGACCGGAGUGGACGCAUCACUGGUGUUCGGGUUGUCAUGCCAAUGGCACUGCCCGGUAGCUAAAUGCGGAAGAGAUAAGUGCUGAAAGCAUCUAAGCACGAAACUUGCCCCGA
This 2111-nucleotide ribosomal RNA is filed under the name Salmonella enterica. RNAcentral describes it as "partial 23S ribosomal RNA". It matches the Rfam family "Bacterial large subunit ribosomal RNA", at positions 711 to 2802 of the family's 2925-position model. RNAcentral also lists the same sequence under 1 other name. The record is from RNAcentral. Lineage: Bacteria; Pseudomonadati; Pseudomonadota; Gammaproteobacteria; Enterobacterales; Enterobacteriaceae.